GAUGAACGCUGGCGGCGUGCCUAAUACAUGCAAGUCGAGCGAACAGAUGAGGAGCUUGCUCCUCUGACGUUAGCGGCGGACGGGUGAGUAACACGUGGAUAACCUACCUAUAAGACUGGGAUAACUUCGGGAAACCGGAGCUAAUACCGGAUAAUAUAUUGAACCGCAUGGUUCAAUAGUGAAAGACGGUUUUGCUGUCACUUAUAGAUGGAUCCGCGCCGCAUUAGCUAGUUGGUAAGGUAACGGCUUACCAAGGCAACGAUGCGUAGCCGACCUGAGAGGGUGAUCGGCCACACUGGAACUGAGACACGGUCCAGACGCCUACGGGAGGCAGCAGUAGGGAAUCUUCCGCAAUGGGCGAAAGCCUGACAGAGCAAGGCCGAGUGAGUGAUGAAGGUCUUCGGAUCGUAAAACUCUGUUAUUAGGGAAGAACAAAUGUGUAAGGAAAUAUGCACGUCUUGACGGUAACUAAUCAGAAAGCAACGGCUAACUACGUG
RNAcentral lists this ribosomal RNA (497 nucleotides) under uncultured bacterium. Its description in RNAcentral is "partial 16S ribosomal RNA". It matches the Rfam family "Bacterial small subunit ribosomal RNA", at positions 28 to 507 of the family's 1533-position model. The record is from RNAcentral.